RNAcentral lists this ribosomal RNA (465 nucleotides) under uncultured bacterium. RNAcentral's name for it is "partial 16S ribosomal RNA". It matches the Rfam family "Bacterial small subunit ribosomal RNA", at positions 338 to 795 of the family's 1533-position model. The record is from RNAcentral.
CCUACGGGAGGCAGCAGUAGGGAAUCUUCCACAAUGGGCGCAAGCCUGAUGGAGCAACACCGCGUGAGUGAAGAAGGGUUUCGGCUCGUAAAGCUCUGUUGUUGGAGAAGAACGUGCGUGAGAGUAACUGUUCACGCAGUGACGGUAUCCAACCAGAAAGUCACGGCUAACUACGUGCCAGCAGCCGCGGUAAUACGUAGGUGGCAAGCGUUAUCCGGAGUUAUUGGGCGUAAAGCGAGCGCAGGCGGUUGCUUAGGUCUGAUGUGAAAGCCUUCGGCUUAACCGAAGAAGUGCAUCGGAAACCGGGCAACUUGAGUGCAGAAGAGGACAGUGGAACUCCAGGUGUAGCGGUGGAAUGCGUAGAGAUAUGGAAGAACACCAGUGGCGAAGGCGGCUGUCUGGUCUGCAACUGACGCUGAGGCUCGAAAGCAUGGGUAGCAAACAGGAUUAGAUACCCCAGUAGUC